Molecule: long non-coding RNA, 2408 nt
Filed under: Homo sapiens (human)
Lineage: Eukaryota; Metazoa; Chordata; Mammalia; Primates; Hominidae
Description: HSALNT0081631
Source: RNAcentral
GUGGGCUGAGUCCGAAAAGAGAGUCAGCGAAGGGAGAUAGGGGUGGGGCCGUUUUAUAGGAUUUGGGAAGGUAAUGGAAAAUUAGUCAAAGGGGGUUGUUCUCUGGUGGGCAGGGGUGGGGGGUCACAAGGUGCUCAGUGGGGGAGCUUCUGAGCCAGGAGAAGGAAAUUCGCAGGGUUAAUCACUCAGUUAAGGUGGGGCAGGAACAAAUCACAAUAGUGGAAUGUCAUCAGUUAAGGCGGGGCAGGGCCUUUUCACUUCUUUUGUGAUUCUUCAGUUACUUCAGGCCAUCUGGGCGUAUACGUGCAAGUCACAGGGGAUGCGAUGGCUUGGCUUGGGCUCAGAGGCCUGACAUUCCUGCCUUCUUAUAUUAAUAAGAAAAAUAAAACAAAAUAGUGUUGAAGUGUUGAGGCGGCAAAAAUUUUUGGGGGUGUUAUGGAGAGAGAAUGGGUGAUGUUUCUCAGAGCUGCUUCAAGUGGGAUUAGGGGCGGCGUGGGAACCUAGAGUGGGAGAGAUUAAGCUGAAGGGAGGUCUUGUGGUAAGGGGUGAUAUUGUGGGGAUGUAAGAAGAAACAUUUGUCAUAUAGAAUGAUUGGUGAUGGCCUGGAUACGGUUUUGUAUGAAUUGAAAAACUAAAUGGAAUAUGAGAAGGCGAAAAACAGGUAUAAAAGGACUAAGAAUUGGGAGGACCUAGGCCAUCUAAUUAGAGAGUGCCUAAGGAGAUUCAGCAUAGUCCUGCCGGCAAAGAUUAUUUAUUUACUUCAAGAGUUUAGAGUGGCAGUUUGGGGAUAGCACUAGGAGAUAUCACCUGUGAUGUCUUGGAGAAAGAGUGUAAACCGGCAGUGUAAACAAGAGCAGGGCAUGUGUGAGUAGUUGAGAACAGUGAAUAGGAGUAUGACUAACAGAUGAGGAUGAAAUUUGGGCUUGACUGAAGUAAUGGGGGCUGUCUGUGAAGCCUUGCAGCAGUACAGCCCAGGUAAUUUGCUGAGCCUAAUGGGUGUCAGGGUCAGUCUAAGUGAAGGCAAAGAGAGGCUGGGAUGAAGGGUGCAAGGAAUAGUAAAGAAAGCAUGUUUGAGAUCCAGAACAGAAUAAUGGGUAGUAGAGGGAGGUAUUGAGGAUAGGAGAGUCUAUGGGUUUGGCACCACGGGGUGGAUAGGCAAAACAAUUUGGUUGAUAAGGCGCAGAUUCUGAACUAACUUGUAAGGCUUGUCUGGUUUUAGGACAGGUAAAAUGGGGGAAUGGUAAGGAGAGUUUAUAAGCUUUAAAAGGCCACGCUGUAGCAGGCGAGUGAUAACAGGUUUUAAUCUUUUUAAAGCGUGCUGUGGGAUGGGAUAUUGGCGUUGAGCGGGGUAAGGGUGAUUAGGUUUUAAUGGGAUGGUAAGGGGCAUGUGAUCGGUUGCCAGGGAAGGAGUAGAGAUGUCCCAUACUUGCGGGUUAAGGUGGGGGGAUAUGAGAGGAAGACGCGAAGGAGGCUUUGGGUUGGGGAGAAGGGCGGCAAUGAGAUGUGGCUGUAGUCCAGGAAUAGUCAGGGAAGCAGAUAACUUAGUUAAAGUGUCUCAGCCUAAUAAGGGAACUGGGCAGGUGGGGAUAACGAAAAAGGAGUGCUUAAAAGAGUAUUGUCUAAGUUGGCACCAGAGUUGGGGAGUUUUAAGAGGUUUAGAAGCCUGGCUGUUAAUACCCACAACAGUUAUGGAGGCAAGGGAAACAGGCCCUUGAAAAGAAGGUAAUGUGGAGUGGGUAGCCUCCGUAUUGAUUAAGAAGGGGACGGGCUUACCUUCCACUGUGAGAGUUACCCGAAGCUCGGCGUCCAUGAUGGUCUAGGGGGCUUCCGAGGCGAUCGGGCAGUGUCAGUCUUCAGCCGCUAAGCCAAGAAGAUCUGGGAAGGAGUCAGAGAGCCUUGGGCCAGAGUUCCAGGGUCUCUGAGAGUGGCUGCCAGGUGAGUUGAACAGUCCGAUUUUCAGUGGGGUCCCGCACAGAUGGGACACGGCUUAGGAGGAAUCCGGGGCUGCAGGCAUUCCUUGGCCUAGUGGCCAGAUUUCCGGCACAUGUAGCAAGCUCCUGUGGGAGGAGGUUCUGGAGGAACGCCUGGCUGCUGUGGUUCAGGCAUUUGGAAGUUCUUGUGUGCUGGAGAUGUGGCUGGGGUUUGUCUCACAGCGGAGGCAAGGAAUUGCAACUUUUUUUUUUUAUUAUUCUACACCUUGAAGGCGCUGCGGAACUCAGCCCGCGGACGAUUCCCGGGAGGAAGGGCCUUAUUUCGAUCUGUGAGUGAGAGCAACGCGGCAUGACAGUGUCUGCUCGACGUGCAGGGAAAUCUUACCCGAGCCACUUUGGCAGGGCCCAGGCCUCGGUGCGGCGGUGCUGAAGCAGAAGUCUCCGCUUUAAGUGUGAAACUCGGAGGGCAGAGCAGAG